ACUUUUCUUGGUUUUCUUGUUGUCCCUUUAUUGUCUGAUCCAAAUGGGGGAGACCAAACACUGUGUUUGUUAUUGUCAUUCCGGACAUUGUCAUUGCUCUUGUAGUCGCGAGGUACUUGAAAAGGACCUCGCGAACGGUCUGAAAGAAGAAAAUAAAAGAAUGAAAACCAGGGAUGAACCAUCAAAUGAUGCGUGGCUUCCCCAACACUACUGAUGAAUCAGUGGAUUGACUAAUUAUAUCAUGUACACGUAAUGAGGAAAUAAUUCUUUUCGGCAUUUGUAAUUUUGUCUGUAUCAUUGAUAAAAAUAUCCCAAAAUAAAUUAUUAUUAGCAUUCCAA
Saccostrea cuccullata (small rock oyster) is the source of this 339-nucleotide long non-coding RNA. RefSeq lists it as uncharacterized. The record is from RefSeq and is a predicted model, not a curated record. Lineage: Eukaryota; Metazoa; Mollusca; Bivalvia; Ostreida; Ostreidae. The transcript has 3 exons.